UACAUGCAGUCGAGCGAAUGGAUUAAGAGCUUGCUCUUAUGAAGUUAGCGGCGGACGGGUGAGUAACACGUGGGUAACCUGCCCAUAAGACUGGGAUAACUCCGGGAAACCGGGGCUAAUACCGGAUAACAUUUUGAACCGCAUGGUUCGAAAUUGAAAGGCGGCUUCGGCUGUCACUUAUGGAUGGACCCGCGUCGCAUUAGCUAGUUGGUGAGGUAACGGCUCACCAAGGCAACGAUGCGUAGCCGACCUGAGAGGGUGAUCGGCCACACUGGGACUGAGACACGGCCCAGACUCCUACGGGAGGCAGCAGUAGGGAAUCUUCCGCAAUGGACGAAAGUCUGACGGAGCAACGCCGCGUGAGUGAUGAAGGCUUUCGGGUCGUAAAACUCUGUUGUUAGGGAAGAACAAGUGCUAGUUGAAUAAGCUGGCACCUUGACGGUACCUAACCAGAAAGCCACGGCUAACUACGUGCCAGCAGCCGCGGUAAUACGUAGGUGGCAAGCGUUAUCCGGAAUUAUUGGGCGUAGAGCGCGCGCAGGUGGUUUCUUAAGUCUGAUGUGAAAGCCCACGGCUCAACCGUGGAGGGUCAUUGGAAACUGGGAGACUUGAGUGCAGAAGAGGAAAGUGGAAUUCCAUGUGUAGCGGUGAAAUGCGUAGAGAUAUGGAGGAACACCAGUGGCGAAGGCGACUUUCUGGUCUGUAACUGACACUGAGGCGCGAAAGCGUGGGGAGCAAACAGGAUUAG
Molecule: ribosomal RNA, 748 nt
Filed under: Bacillus sp. (in: firmicutes)
Lineage: Bacteria; Bacillati; Bacillota; Bacilli; Caryophanales; Bacillaceae
Description: bacterial SSU rRNA
Rfam family: Bacterial small subunit ribosomal RNA
Source: RNAcentral